This 330-nucleotide ribosomal RNA is filed under the name uncultured eukaryote. RNAcentral describes it as "partial 18S ribosomal RNA". It matches the Rfam family "Eukaryotic small subunit ribosomal RNA", at positions 1470 to 1796 of the family's 1831-position model. The record is from RNAcentral.
CCCUUAGAUGUCCGGGGCUGCACGCGCGCUACACUGAAUGAAUCAGCGUGCUAGAAAACCUUGUUUGACAUGGCUAGGUAACCCAUUGAAAAUCAUUCGUGAUUGGGAUCGGGACUUGCAAAUGUGUCCCUUGAACGAGGAAUUCCCAGUAAGUGCGGGUCAUCAGCUCGCGUUGAUUACGUCCCUGCCCUUUGUACACACCGCCCGUCGCUGCCCGGAACUGAGCCGUUUCGAGAAAACUGAGGAUUGCUGACUUGAGGCCUUCACGGGCUUCUAGUCGGUGAAAAUCAAUUUAAUCGCAGCGGCUUGAACCGGGCAAAAGUCGUAACA